This is a long non-coding RNA of Macaca fascicularis (crab-eating macaque), 2223 nucleotides long. The record is from Ensembl. Lineage: Eukaryota; Metazoa; Chordata; Mammalia; Primates; Cercopithecidae.
UUUUUUUUUUUUUUUUUGAGGCAGAGUCUCACUUUGCCGCCCAGGCUAUGGUACAGUGGCACUAUCUCUGUUCACUGCAACCUCUGCCUCCUGGGAUCAAGCUUUCCUCCCACCUGAUCCUCCCACCUCAGCCUCCAUAGUAGUUGGGAGUACAGGCAGGCACUUCUAUGCUUGGCUAAUAUAUAUAUAUAUAUUUUUUGUAGAGACAAGGAGUUUCACCAUGUUGCCCAUGUUGGCCUUGAACUCCUGGCUCAAGCAGUCUGCCCACCGUGGCCUCCCAAAGCGCUAAGAUUACAGGUGUGAACCACUGCUGGGUACUAGAAAAUUUAAGGCUUCAUUUGUGACUCACGUUCUGUUUCUACUGGGCAGAGGUGCUUGAGGCCUUAGAUAGGAGCAAAACAGUUUGUCUAAAAUAAUAAAAAGGAAGGCAGAAUAUAGGGGCAUAAAUGCUGUUUAGUAAGUAGAGAAGGUGGUGGGUGUUUGAAAAUUCCUUCAGUUUUCUCAGUGAAUGAGGAAGCAAGGUUUUCCAUAAGUUGAAUUAAAUUCAUUUAUGUAGAACUUAUUUUGGUGCAGAGCAUAAGGUAAGGAUCUAAAUAUUUUCCCCCAAUAAUUUACCAUUUAUCCCAGCACCAUUUAUUGAGUAAGGUUUCUCCCCUUUUAAUGUGUGAUGCCUCCUUUUUCCUAACACAAAUUCUGUGAUCUGUUUCUGAGCUGUCUGCUCCGUCUACGUGACUAGGCUUGCACUUGCCCCUUGUUGAUUUAAUUAUUGCAGCUGUAUAAUACGCUGUGUGCGUUAGACCAUCCCUACCAUUCCUUCCCUUUCCCUGAUACUUCCCAGAUAUUUGCUCGAUAGGAGCACAGACAAAAUUUUGAAAUAUUUUGCCAAGUUUUAAAAGUUUAAGAUAGAUAUAUUACAUAUAUUAGAUAUAGAUAUAGAUACAUUAUUUUAGAUUCAGAGGGUACACGUGCAGAUUUGUUGCAUAAUGAUAAGGCUUUUGGGGUGCUAUUGAUCCCAGAAGCCAGGUAGUAAGCAUAUUAUCCAAUAGUUUCUCAAGCCUUCCCCCUAGCCCCCUCCCUCUCUAUCCCCUCUAAUAGUCCCUAGUGUCUACUGCUGCCACCUUUAUGCCCAUGAGUACUUAAUGUUUAGCUCCCACUUAUAGAACAUGUAGUAUUUGGUUUUCUGUUUCUGUGUUACUUUGUUUAGGAUAAUGGCCUCUAGCUGCAACAAAAGAAUAUAAUUUUGUUCUUUUUGUGGCUGCAUAGUAUUCGACGGUAUACAUGUACCACAUUUUCUUUAUCCAGUCCAGUUGAUGGGCCCCUAGGUUGAUUCCAUGUCUUUGUUAUUGUGAAUAGUGCUGCGAUUAACAUAUGCAUGCUUGUAUCUUUUUUAUAGAACAAUGUAUUUUCUUUUGGAUGUUGAUGAAAAGAGUGAAACUCCAUAAAAUAGUUGAAGAGAUUCAUUCUGAGCCACAUAUAAGUGACCAAUGGCCCAUGGCACAGCCCUCAGGAGAUCCUGAGAACAUGUGCCCAAAGUGACUGGGUUACAGCUUGGUUUUACACAUUUUAAGGAGACAUAAGACUUUAAUCAAUAUAUGUAAGAUAUAUAUUGGUUCCAUCCAUAAACACAGGACAACUCGAAGCAGGGGCUUCCAAGUCAUAGGUAGAGUCAGAGAUUUUUCUGACUGGCAAUUGGUUGAAAGCAUUAAGUUAUUGUCUAAAGAAUUAGAAUAAAUAAAAGGGGAGGUCUGGGUUAAGAUAAGGGGUUGUGGAGACCAGGGUUUCCAUUAUACAGAAGCAGUGUCCAGGUACCAGGCUUUAGAGAGAAUAGAUUGUAAAUGUUUAUUCUCAGAAUUCAUUCUCUCCUGAAUUAGGAAAAAGGCCUGAAAAGGAACAAGGAUUCUCUACAGAAGGCAGAUUUUUCUCACAAAAAACAGCUUUGCAAGGCUGUUUCAAAAUAUGUCGAAGAAAUAUAAUUUGGGGUAAAAUACUUCCAUUUAUUUCAGGGCCUGCUAUCUGUCAUACUAUACUAGAGUCAGGCUAGAAUUUGGUGUCUUAUUUCUAGAAUCUGCUUUGUCAGUCUUAAGAAUUGUUUUGGGCCGGGUGCGGUGGCUCACACCUAUAAUCCCAGCACUUUGGGAGGCCGUGGCGGGCGGAUCACGGGGCCAGGAGAUAGAGACCAUCCUGGCUAACAUGGUGAAACCCCGUCUCUACUAAAAAUACAAA